This 207-nucleotide ribosomal RNA is filed under the name uncultured bacterium. Its description in RNAcentral is "partial 16S ribosomal RNA". It matches the Rfam family "Bacterial small subunit ribosomal RNA", at positions 524 to 722 of the family's 1533-position model. The record is from RNAcentral.
UACGUAGGGUGCGAGCGUUAAUCGGAAUUACUGGGCGUAAAGCGUGCGCAGGCGGUUCGACAAGUCUGAUGUGAAAUCCCCGGGCGUCAACCUAGGGAACGUAGCGUUGGUAAACGUAGUCGGGCGUAGAGUGUAGAAGAGGGGGUAGGAAUUCACGUGUAGCAGUGAAAUAGCGUAGAGAUGUGGAGGAAUACCGAUGGCGAAGGC